AGCCCACCAGCUAGCUCACACCCUAAAAUACAACAACCCUAUAUAAAUAAACCCUAAUAAACCCAAACACCUAAAACAAACCAUUUUACCCCCUAAGUAUGGGCGACAGAAAAGGACCCUCGAAGCAAUAGAAACAGUACCGCAAGGGAACGCUGAAAGAGAAAUGAAACAAAUCAGUAAAGCGCAAAAAAGCAGAGUUUAACUCUCGUACCUUUUGCAUCAUGAUUUAGCAAGAAAACAUCAAGCACAAAGAAUUUUAGUUUGACACCCCGAAACCAAGUGAGCUACUUCAAGACAGCCUAAAAGGGCGAACCCGUCUCUGUGGCAAAAGAGUGGGAAGAUCUUUAAGUAGAGGUGACAGACCUACCGAACUUAGUUAUAGCUGGUUGUCCAGGAAUUGAAUAGGAGUUCAGCCUUUUGCCCUCUUCCCCCAAAACCGGGCACACACAAUGCACCUAAGAGGACAAAGGAGUUAGUCAAAGGGGGUACAGCCCCUUUGAAAGAGACACAACUUUACCAGAAGGGUUAAGAUCAUAAAUCAACUUUAGGGAAUGUGUUCUAGUUGGCCUAAAAGCAGCCACCCACAUAGAAAGCGUUAAAGCUCAUACACACUCCACCCCGAUUAUCCGGACUACACUAUCUUAUCCCACUAAACGUACUGGACCUUUCCAUACUAAUAUGGAAGAGAUUAUGCUAAUAUGAGUAAUAAGAGACCUAGAAUCUCUCCUAGCACAUGUGUAUAUCGGAACGAACUAACACCGAGAAUUAACGGACCCAAAGAAAGAGGGUAAUGGAAUACCACGGCUAAACCGCUAGAAAACCCCCCACAACUCAACCGUUAACCUUACACCAGAGUGCACACAAGGAAAGACUAAAAGAAAAAGAAGGAACUCGGCA
Molecule: ribosomal RNA, 897 nt
Filed under: Pristiapogon exostigma (narrowstripe cardinalfish)
Lineage: Eukaryota; Metazoa; Chordata; Actinopteri; Kurtiformes; Apogonidae
Description: partial 16S rRNA
Rfam family: Bacterial large subunit ribosomal RNA (bases 195-698)
Source: RNAcentral